RNAcentral lists this ribosomal RNA (383 nucleotides) under Pseudoselenomonas ruminantium. Its description in RNAcentral is "bacterial SSU rRNA". It matches the Rfam family "Bacterial small subunit ribosomal RNA", at positions 1 to 363 of the family's 1533-position model. Lineage: Bacteria; Bacillati; Bacillota; Negativicutes; Selenomonadales; Selenomonadaceae. The record is from RNAcentral.
UUUAUUGGAGAGUUUGAUCCUGGCUCAGGACGAACGCUGGCGGCGUGCUUAACACAUGCAAGUCGAACGAGACGAUUUUAAGCUUGCUUAGAUGAGUCGAGUGGCAAACGGGUGCGUAACGCGUCGACAACCUGCCGCAAAGAUGGGGAAACAGUCCGAAAGGACUGCUAAUACCGAAUGUUGUAUUGUUUCCGCAUGGAGACGAUAUCAAAGAUGGCCUCUACUUGUAAGCUAUCGCUUUGUGAUGGGUCUGCGUCUGAUUAGCUAGUUGGUGGGGUAACGGCCUACCAAGGCGACGAUCAGUAGCCGGUCUGAGAGGAUGAACGGCCACAUUGGAACUGAGACACGGUCCAGACUCCUACGGGAGGCAGCAGUGGGGAAUC